RNAcentral lists this ribosomal RNA (254 nucleotides) under uncultured bacterium. RNAcentral describes it as "partial 16S ribosomal RNA". It matches the Rfam family "Bacterial small subunit ribosomal RNA", at positions 524 to 776 of the family's 1533-position model. The record is from RNAcentral.
UACAGCGGUGCCAAGCGUUAGGCGGAAUCACUGGGCUUAAAGCGCGUGUAGGCGGGUCGGUAAGUGUCCGAGUGAAAUCCCACGGCUCAACCGUGGAACUGCCGGGCAUACUGGCGAUCUUGAGGCAUUCAGGGGCGAGCGGAACAAAUGGUGGAGCGGUGAAAUGCGUAGAUAUCAUUUGGAACGCCAAUGGUGAAAACAGCUCGCUGGGAAUGAUCUGACGCUGAGACGCGAAAGCCAGGGGAGCGAACGGG